UCCCACUCUCAAAUGCUCUACGUGGCUUAUCAAAAAAAAGCCAUUCCCUAAUUGUCUCACCCUCAAGAACUGAAAGAUCAAAGAGCUCUGGUGCAUUCCAUGGGGACUUUGCAGUUGCAGCUCCCUCACAUUCAGGAAUACCAACAUCUUUUCCUUGUGCCUUCGCACUUAGAGCAGCAAAAAGAAGACCAUCCUUCAGGCCAAUGCCCCCGGGUCGAAGAACCGGACCCAUCCCAGGUGGACCUUCAUUUAAUGCUAGGGCAUGAUGAAAGCUACUGCAAUAGUCCUGACACCAGUCCAACCCUCCUUGAGCAGGUCUUGGACAAUCCCAAAGUGCACAUUUUGGGCCCAGGAAAGCAGAAGGUGGAGGA
RNAcentral lists this unclassified non-coding RNA (371 nucleotides) under Hevea brasiliensis (rubber tree). Lineage: Eukaryota; Viridiplantae; Streptophyta; Magnoliopsida; Malpighiales; Euphorbiaceae. The record is from RNAcentral.